RNAcentral lists this ribosomal RNA (445 nucleotides) under uncultured soil bacterium. RNAcentral's name for it is "bacterial SSU rRNA". It matches the Rfam family "Bacterial small subunit ribosomal RNA", at positions 26 to 518 of the family's 1533-position model. The record is from RNAcentral.
AGAACGAACGCUGGCGGCAGGCUUAACACAUGCAAGUCGAACGGUUGUAGCAAUACAGCAGUGGCAGACGGGUGAGUAACACGUGGGAACCUUCCUAGGGGUACGGAACAACUCAGGGAAACUUGAGCUAAUACCGUAUACGUCCGUGAGGAGAAAGAUUUAUCGCCCCUAGACGGGCCCGCGUAGGAUUAGGUAGUUGGUGAGGUAACGGCUCACCAAGCCUACGAUCCUUAGCUGAUCUGAGAGGAUGAUCAGCCACACUGGGACUGAGACACGGCCCAGACUCCUACGGGAGGCAGCAGUGGGGAAUCUUGGACAAUGGGCGCAAGCCUGAUCCAGCCAUGCGCGUGAGUGAAGAAGGCCUGGGUGUAAAGCUCUUUUACCAGGGACGAUAAUGACGGUACCUAGGAGAAUAAGACCCGGCAAACUUCGUGCCAGCAGUCGC